GACAAGCCAUGCGAUCACAGUGAGUGCGAAUAGUUGCACGGUCAUUAUCGCCAGGGCCGUGGACUACUUUUGGACUCUGUGGAUUAUUUUGUAUUGCAACAGCAUUAGUAAUGGCACGUGCAUUGCGCAUGUGUUUGCAAGUGAAUAUUUUUCUGAUUCCACUUGAUUACAGAUUAAACGCCAGAAGCUGGAACGCAAUUUGAGGGAGCUGGUUAGUCAUUCACUUUUAAUAAAGUGAUGUGAUGAAAACAAAUGAGCCCAGGAGCACUUCUGCUCCCAACCCAUCGAGACGUCUGCCCUCAUAACGACCCUGUCAUGAAGUUCCGAUCGACUGAUUCGGCGAGGCAGAAGGCUCAAGGGCGCCAUCUGUUCAGCUGAAGACGCACUGAAAACACUCGUAAUUAACUCGGCACCGAGGCGGUGACCCGACGCACCGCUUCGGCCCCCGUUCGAUGUUACGCAUCUUUGGUGCGCUCACCGUUCCGGCCGUUAUGCUUCGUCAGACGGAUAGUACUUUGACUUUACUCUAGUUUUAUUACACAGAGACUGACUUUUGAUACUUGUAUGGCAUUUGUUACAGCAGGACUGUUACAAUAUGGCUGAUAUCGUUGUCUGUAUAGUUAAUAAAGGUCUUUUUUUUUUUUUUUGGUCAUGGCAUUCCAUCAGCACCUGCACGUUUUAUUUACUUUUAUAUGUAAAUACAUGACUCUCUGUAGAAAGAGGAUUAGCAAGUAGCUUGUUGCAGUCUUUUAGAAGAAAGUAUUUUUUUUUUUUAUGUAUUGUUUUGAUGAAGGCUUCACCGGUUCAUGAUUGCGACACCACCUCUGAAUAUUUUAACUUCCAAUUUGCAUUUAAACGCGGCAUAAUUGAUUACAGCAAAACAACGCGCUCGUGCGAAUGAAUAAAUGCAAACACACGCGGGAGGCCACA
This is a long non-coding RNA of Phyllopteryx taeniolatus (common seadragon), 930 nucleotides long. RefSeq lists it as uncharacterized. The transcript is spliced from 3 exons. The record is from RefSeq and is a predicted model, not a curated record. Lineage: Eukaryota; Metazoa; Chordata; Actinopteri; Syngnathiformes; Syngnathidae.